RNAcentral lists this ribosomal RNA (440 nucleotides) under uncultured bacterium. RNAcentral's name for it is "partial 16S ribosomal RNA". It matches the Rfam family "Bacterial small subunit ribosomal RNA", at positions 338 to 795 of the family's 1533-position model. The record is from RNAcentral.
CCUACGGGAGGCAGCAGUGGGGAAUAUUGCACAAUGGGGGAAACCCUGAUGCAGCGACGCCACGUGAGUGAAGAAGUAAUUCGUUAUGUAAAGCUCUAUCAGCAGGGAAGAAAAUGACGGUACCUGAGUAAGAAGCCCCGGCUAACUACGUGCCAGCAGCCGCGGUAAGACGUAGGGGGCAAGCGUUAUCCGGAUUUACUGGGUGUAAAGGGAGCGUAGACGGCAGUGCAAGUCUGGAGUGAAAGGCGGGGGCUCAACCCCCGGACUGCUCUGGAAACUGUACGGCUGGAGUGCAGGAGAGGUAAGUGGAAUUCCUAGUGUAGCGGUGAAAUGCGUAGAUAUUAGGAGGAACACCAGUGGCGAAGGCGGCUUACUGGACUGUAACUGACGUUGAGGCUCGAAAGCGUGGGGAGCAAACAGGAUUAGAUACCCGUGUAGUC